GUGCUCACUUUGGCAGCACAUGUGCUAAAAUUUGAACGAUACAGAUACAGACAGCAUGGCUCCUCAGCAAGGAUAAGAUGCAAAUUCAUGAAGUCUUCCGUAUUUUU
This 107-nucleotide small nuclear RNA is filed under the name Procavia capensis (Cape rock hyrax). Lineage: Eukaryota; Metazoa; Chordata; Mammalia; Hyracoidea; Procaviidae. The record is from RNAcentral.